Molecule: small RNA, 115 nt
Filed under: Bacillus sonorensis
Lineage: Bacteria; Bacillati; Bacillota; Bacilli; Caryophanales; Bacillaceae
Description: Bacillus sRNA ncr1015
Rfam family: Bacillus sRNA ncr1015
Source: RNAcentral
UAUAAGAUGGAUAACUAUAACUUUUCACCCGAAAGCAGACGUAAUCUGAUUAUAUCAUCGUGUCUGUUUUUGGGCAAUAUAAAAAGAACCUGGCGAAAAUGUCAGGUUCUUUCUU